This 65-nucleotide transfer RNA is filed under the name Gleimia europaea. It matches the Rfam family "tRNA", at positions 5 to 66 of the family's 71-position model. From Rfam's summary of the family: Transfer RNA (tRNA) molecules are approximately 80 nucleotides in length. Lineage: Bacteria; Bacillati; Actinomycetota; Actinomycetes; Actinomycetales; Actinomycetaceae. The record is from RNAcentral. RNAcentral also lists the same sequence under 2 other names.
CGAUAGCUCAGCGGAUAGAGCGUCUGCCUCCGGAGCAGAAGGUCGCAGGUUCGAGUCCUGUUCGG